ACCAGCCCACACGUACCACACCCACCUCUCCCCUCUCCCCCACCCCUCGCUCCCGAUCUCAUCUCUCCCCUGCAAAAUAUCGUCGCCGCCUGAGCGAGGAAGGACCGCAGCGGAGGGACCAAGGAGAAGGGGGUCCCCUCGCUCGCUUCUGCCGAUGACGAUCAUGCGCACCGCCACCCCCACCGCCGUCGCCGCCGCGGCGAUCCCCAAGUCGCGGGAAACCGGGCGCAACCACCCUCACCUCCGUCGCCGCUGCAGGGAUAUGAAGAGAAGGGCCGCGGGAGCCGGUGAGCUCUCCGAGGAGAGCGCCCGCCCUGAGUCCGACCCCUGCCCUCAGGCCGCCGACCCGCAUGACGUCCUUACAACAUCUCGGCGGUGGCUACAUCGAGGGUGCGUGCGGCUGAGUAGAACAAGUACAAGGAUGAGGGGAGCGCCAACAACCCGUACUUCAGGACAUGAUGUCAAAGGAAUUCAUUAAAUUCACUCUUCAUUACAUUGCGGAUUUGGAUAUCCCAAUUAAAAGGUCAGUGCAGAGUCAUGUUCGAUAAUUCCCUCUAGCCCUUUACUAACCGAGUAAAUGUUUGCUCACGGGCACAUUCAUAGAAUUCAGGAGUGGAAUGAUCAAUGUGUCGCCUAUAGGGAGGAACUGUAGUCAAGAAGAACGUGAUGAUUUUGAGAAGUAUGAUAAGGUACAUAACGUUCGGCCUAAAAUGGUGUUAGUGCUUCGUAAAAAGUUCGCACACCUGAACCUGACUUUUUCUAUUGGGGGG
Molecule: long non-coding RNA, 770 nt
Organism: Hordeum vulgare subsp. vulgare (domesticated barley)
Lineage: Eukaryota; Viridiplantae; Streptophyta; Magnoliopsida; Poales; Poaceae
Exons: 3
Source: RefSeq, a predicted model, not a curated record